AGCUUUCUUUCCUGUUUCAAGGCAGCGAGAAGGGGACUGCAGAACAAAUAGGUCCCAGAUGACGUCCCUAAAUAAAGCAGGAUUUAUACCUACGACGGACAGAUACCUGUGUGGAUCCUCUGAUGUGGGAGUCAUCAACCCUGUCUCGUGGCUGAGGAAAACGAGGACCAAGGGUGAUGGGAGACAAAGCCCACAGAGAACAGCAGAGCGAGGCUGGAAUCCGGGUGCCUGGCCCGGUUCUCCCGAGCUGUGUGCUCAGCUCUGAGGCGCCUUCCUCCGGAAGCCGAUGAUGGAGGAAUGUCAUCUUAGAGACUGGUCUCUGCGGCCCUCCACAGUUCUCAUCUAGAAGAUCACACAUGUUGAGUGCUGCUGGCCACUAUCUCAGUCCUCAUUAUAUUAUACACACUGAGAAGGAGACCCCUCUUCUAAGUUCGUCUAGCAGAGACUUCUUAAAUUGCUCAAUACUGGAAGUCACUAGAGAUGUGUGUUCUUUAAUUUGAAGUUAAAAAUAAAAAAAAUACUUCAACUGUA
This is a long non-coding RNA of Mesocricetus auratus (golden hamster), 531 nucleotides long. RefSeq lists it as uncharacterized. The record is from RefSeq and is a predicted model, not a curated record. The transcript has 2 exons. NCBI's taxonomy places the organism in Eukaryota, Metazoa, Chordata, Mammalia, Rodentia, Cricetidae.